UGUCUCCGUGGGCCGAAGAUAAAAGCGGCGGCGGCUGCCGUGGGAACCGUGCUGUCUGGGCUCAGCUACCCCUCGCUGGUGGCGGGGGGCGCCGUGCGGAGCAGCUCCGCGGGCAGCUCCGGGUCGCUUAAGCGGCCGGGGACGUGCCCGUCCUCUUCCCUCGCAGGGCCGCGGAGACCGGAAGGCGGCAUCCGCAGCUGGCAAGGCCCGAGGGUCCGCAGCCCACCGAGCCGAGCACAGGCCAUCAAAGCCGAAUCCGAACUUGAAUUCUGUGCGGCUGAUUGCAGAGCUGGUAGGCCGACCACUUCCCGGGGGAAAUGUAAUGGGGCGGGGGUCGCUUUGGCUUGUGCUCAGAAGGUGGGAGAGGGAAUUUUCCGCCUACCCACAGCGGAGGCAGCGGGGAGGGGGGUGGGUGGCGGGGGUGGAGGGAGCGGGAUGAGCGAGGAGGCUGCUCCUGACCCUUCCCUUCCCUACCCUCCGCCGCGGCGGCGCAAUCUUGACGCCCGGAGGUCUCGGAUCGGCGACCCCCCCCCCACCCGCCCCGGUGGACAGAGAUCGGCUGUUAGCCUGGAGACGAGCUUUCUCGCGGAGGCCACCGGUUGCAGAAGCUGGAAGUGAAAUAAAGGCGCGCGCGCGCCCGUUCCUGCGCUCCUCCCCUACUGAGAUAGGAGAGUCCCCCAGCACGCCUGCACAUUAGGCUAACCCACAAAGCCUGAGCGUCUUGUUCCAUUCGGA
RNAcentral lists this long non-coding RNA (735 nucleotides) under Lynx canadensis (Canada lynx). RNAcentral describes it as "lncRNA (ENSLCNG00005020325.1)". Lineage: Eukaryota; Metazoa; Chordata; Mammalia; Carnivora; Felidae. The record is from RNAcentral.